This 811-nucleotide ribosomal RNA is filed under the name uncultured bacterium. RNAcentral's name for it is "bacterial SSU rRNA". It matches the Rfam family "Bacterial small subunit ribosomal RNA", at positions 8 to 796 of the family's 1533-position model. The record is from RNAcentral.
AGAGUUUGAUCAUGGCUCAGAUUGAACGCUGGCGGCGUGCUUAACACAUGCAAGUCGAGCGGUAACAGGCGUAGCAAUACGUGCUGACGAGCGGCGAACGGGUGAGUAAUGCUUCGGAAUCUGCCUAGUAGUGGGGAAUAACCAGUCGAAAGACUGGCUAAUGCCGCAUACGUCCCUUGACCGUAUUGGUCAUUGGAGAAAAGCGGGGGAUCGUAAGACCUCGCGCUAAUAGAUGAGCCGAAGUCGGAUUAGCUAGUUGGUGAGGUAACGGCUCACCAAGGCGACAAUCCGUAGCUGGUCUGAGAGGACGACCAGCCACACUGGGACUGAGACACGGCCCAGACUCCUACGGGAGGCAGCAGUGGGGAAUAUUGGACAAUGGGGGCAACCCUGAUCCAGCGACGCCGCGUGUGUGAAGAAGGCCUGCGGGUUGUAAAGCACUUUUAGUGGGGACAAAAAGCUACGGGCUAAUACCUUGUAGUCUUGAUUUAACCCAAAGAAAAAGCACCGGCUAACUCUGUGCCAGCAGCCGCGGUAAUACAGAGGGUGCGAGCGUUAAUCGGAAUUACUGGGCGUAAAGCGUGCGUAGACGGUUUCGUAAGUCGGGUGUGAAAUCCCCGGGCUCAACCUGGGAAUUGCAUUCGAAACUGCGGGGCUAGGGUACGGAAGAGGGAAGCGGAAUUUCUGGUGUAGCGGUGAAAUGCGUAGAUAUCAGAAGGAACAUCAGUGGCGAAAGCGGCUUCCUGGUCCAGUACCGACGUUCAGGCACGAAAGCGUGGGGAGCAAACAGGAUUAGAUACCCUAGUAGUCC